RNAcentral lists this ribosomal RNA (237 nucleotides) under Klebsiella pneumoniae. RNAcentral's name for it is "partial 23S ribosomal RNA". It matches the Rfam family "Bacterial large subunit ribosomal RNA", at positions 1359 to 1596 of the family's 2925-position model. The record is from RNAcentral. Lineage: Bacteria; Pseudomonadati; Pseudomonadota; Gammaproteobacteria; Enterobacterales; Enterobacteriaceae.
GCAACGUUAAUCGACGCAGGGUUAGUCGGUCCCUAAGGCGAGGCUGAAAAGCGUAGUCGAUGGAAAACAGGUUAAUAUUCCUGUACUUCUGGUUAUUGCGAUGGAGGGACGGAGAAGGCUAGGCCAGCUUGGCGUUGGUUGUCCAAGUUUAAGGUGGUAGGCUGGAAUCUUAGGUAAAUCCGGGAUUCUAAGGCCGAGAGCUGAUGACGAGCUAACUUUUAGUUAGCGAAGUGGUUG